This 369-nucleotide ribosomal RNA is filed under the name Gnaptor spinimanus. RNAcentral's name for it is "partial 12S ribosomal RNA". Lineage: Eukaryota; Metazoa; Arthropoda; Insecta; Coleoptera; Tenebrionidae. The record is from RNAcentral.
GAUACCCUAUUAUUUUAGAUGUUAUUUAUUUUCUAUAGUUAUUAGUAGUUUAGUUCUUUAAAAUUAAACAAUUUGGCGGUAUUUUAGUCUAUUCAGAGGAACCUGUUUUUUAAUUGAUGGUCCACGAUAAUUUUUACCUUGGCUUUAAAUUUGCAUAUCGUCGUUAUUAAAAAUUUUGGGAAAAUUUUAAUUUUUAUGAUUUAUAAUUAUGAAUUAAUUCAGAUCAAGGUGUAGUUUAUGAUAAGGUUAAAAUGGGUUACAUUUCAUUAAUGAUUGGUUCUUUUUUUUGGAAUUUAAGAUAAAUUGGAUUUGAUAGUAAAUUCUUUAUUUUGUGGGAUUGAUUUAGCUCUAAAAUAUGUACAUAUCGCC